GAGUAGAGGAGAGGAGAGGAGAGGAGAGGGGAGUGGAGGAGUGCACAGGGCUUGAUACUCGUUAGACAGCUGUGGAGACAAUGCUUUUGUUAAUGCAGCACAAAGUCUGGAUGGUGCGGCCUGACUCCAAAUUAAUUCUGAAGGGACAGGCAGGAUCUUGUGCAUAACUUCCUGUGUACUUUGCAGAGGCUGCUCUCAAAGGCGGCUAAAAAGUUUUGGAACCACUGGCCUAGAGGAUUACCAUCCCGACUACAGGGACACCGGUAUGUGCCUGCACCAGAGGGGCAGUAACUGGGUUGCGAUAUCAUCCCAGCAAAAGUGACAAGCCUCUUGUGUGAGCACUUUUAGAGCACCUAGAGCAGCUCCUGGUGAAGCUCCUGGUGAAGCGCAACCGGAAGGGGGAAGGAUAGCCCCAAGGUUGAAAGGAGCUGGACGGACCAACUGGGACCCGACAUUCAAGCAGGGAAGUAACCAGAAGUUGGGUGAAUUGUUUAACCCUGAAUGAAGAGGGGAAAGGGACAUUUUGUGUUGGACUUUUGAGUUGGGUUGAAGAACCUACCUUUGAGUUUUCUUUGUGUGAAGAAAUACCUGAGUUGUACCUUUUUGAAUUAAAAACCUUCUUUUUACCUCCCAUUGUGACUGAUUCAUCAGUUAACUGCACUGCCCAGCCCGUAAACUUGUUACAAUAUAUAUAUAUAUAUAUAUAU
Molecule: long non-coding RNA, 707 nt
Organism: Clupea harengus (Atlantic herring)
Lineage: Eukaryota; Metazoa; Chordata; Actinopteri; Clupeiformes; Clupeidae
Source: Ensembl